GCCAGGCGCGGUGGCACGUGCCUGUAGUCCCAGCUACUCCGGGGGGGCUGAGGUGAGAGGAUCGCUUGAGUCCAGGAGUUCUGGGCUAUAUUGAGCUAUGCUGAUCGGGUGUCUGCACUAAGUUUGGCAUCAGUAUGGUGACCUCCCGGGAGCUGGGAACCACCAGGUUGCCUAAGGAGGGGUGAACUGGCCCAGGCUGGAAACGGAGCGGGAUCAUGCCUGUGAAUGGCCACUGCACGCCAGCCUGAGCAACAUACCGAGACCCCAUCUCU
Molecule: signal recognition particle RNA, 272 nt
Filed under: Saimiri boliviensis boliviensis (Bolivian squirrel monkey)
Lineage: Eukaryota; Metazoa; Chordata; Mammalia; Primates; Cebidae
Description: Metazoan signal recognition particle RNA (ENSSBOG00000006624.1)
Rfam family: Metazoan signal recognition particle RNA
About the family: The signal recognition particle (SRP) is a universally conserved ribonucleoprotein.
Source: RNAcentral